GCCUGACGCCGGCUCACCUUUCGCAAAGGAUGCCUGACACCAAAUCUCUCUGCUGAUAAAAUAGUUCAAGGACAACAAAGGGGAUGAUCGAUCGUAUUUCAGAGAAUAUGGUGAAAAAAUUGAGAUUUGACAUGAUGAAUAACAAUUUCUUUCAUCCAAAGCGAUCGACCACGUGGCUAUGCACGCGAUGACUCUCCAUUGGACUCAGAAGUGGAGGGACAAUUGUUG
This 228-nucleotide long non-coding RNA is filed under the name Elaeis guineensis (African oil palm). Its description in RNAcentral is "long non-coding RNA (EGUI_LNC025132)". Lineage: Eukaryota; Viridiplantae; Streptophyta; Magnoliopsida; Arecales; Arecaceae. The record is from RNAcentral.